AGUGAACGCUGGCGGUAGGCCUAACACAUGCAAGUCGAACGGCAGCACAGUAAGAGCUUGCUCUUACGGGUGGCGAGUGGCGGACGGGUGAGGAAUACAUCGGAAUCUACUUUUUCGUGGGGGAUAACGUAGGGAAACUUACGCUAAUACCGCAUACGACCUACGGGUGAAAGCAGGGGAUCUUCGGACCUUGCGCGAUUGAAUGAGCCGAUGUCGGAUUAGCUAGUUGGCGGGGUAAAGGCCCACCAAGGCGACGAUCCGUAGCUGGUCUGAGAGGAUGAUCAGCCACACUGGAACUGAGACACGGUCCAGACUCCUACGGGAGGCAACAGUGGGGAAUAUUGGACAAUGGGCGCAAUCCUGAUCCAGCCAUACCGCGUGGGUGAAGAAGGCCUUCGGGUUGUAAAGCCCUUUUGUUGGGAAAGAAAAGCAGCAGGUUAAUACCCCGCUGUUCUGACGGUACCCAAAGAAUAAGCACCGGCUAACUUCGUG
RNAcentral lists this ribosomal RNA (492 nucleotides) under uncultured bacterium. Its description in RNAcentral is "partial 16S ribosomal RNA". It matches the Rfam family "Bacterial small subunit ribosomal RNA", at positions 29 to 507 of the family's 1533-position model. The record is from RNAcentral.